UAUAUGAAGUCUUGCUUGAGAAUGCUUCGGGCACCUGGUUGUGGAAGGUAGAAUGGAAAUUACAACAAAAAAAUCCUAACUAUAAUAGAAUACUAAUUAGGCCAUAUUAAUGCUAAACAAGCUUUAAUCAAAUUCAAAGAAACUUCAAAGAAAUUUCAAAGAAACAAUAAGAAAUCUUAAAAAAAUAUUAGAAUGAUCACAAAUAUAUCUCAAAUACAUUUCAAUUCUAUCUUAAUUUAAUCCUAGUUAAAAUCCUAUUGAACUUCAUUCAAACUUUAGGCCAAAACUAAUUAAAUCUUAAACCCUAAAUAAAUCCUAAUAAAAUCCUAAAUCCUAAAUCCUAAAUCAAACCCUAAUCAAAUUCAAAAUCCUAAAUCAAAUCCUAAAUCUUAAACCAAAUCCUAAAUCCUAAACCAAAUCCUAACCAAAUCCUAAAUCAAAUCCUAACCAAAUCCUAAAUCCUAAAUAAAAUCCUAACCAAACUCUAAACCCUAAACCAAAUCCUGAACAAACCCUAAACCAAAUCCCAACCAAAUCCUAAACCAAACUCUAACCAAAUCCUAACCCUAAAUCAAAUCCUAACCAAACUCUAAAUCUUAAAUCAAACCUCAAGCAAAUCCUAACCCUAAAUCAAAUCCUAACCAAACUCUAAACCC
This 656-nucleotide long non-coding RNA is filed under the name Physcomitrium patens. RNAcentral's name for it is "long non-coding RNA (PPAT_LNC014437)". Lineage: Eukaryota; Viridiplantae; Streptophyta; Bryopsida; Funariales; Funariaceae. The record is from RNAcentral.